CCCCGGCUCUCCCAUCCCCCACACAGACAGCCCCUACUCCAUCACAGACAGGCCCUGCCCCACAGAACUUGCCAUCUAAGAAGCUGAGACAGACGAGGGGCAGGAAAAGGAAGGUGCUGUUAUCCCCACUGCACCGCUGGAGACGGGAGCACAGAGAUAGUAAGUGAUUUGCCUAAGGUCCCUCGAGGUGACUCCGUAGCAGAUAUGGUGAAAGAACCCAGCUCACCUGUGCCGUAACCGCAAGACCUUCCUGGCGCGUGCAGUGUGAGUUCUGCAUUGGAUCCAAAACUGGAAAAGGCCCGUUUCGUGGCUCAGGUUUGGCUUUCCAGAGAAAAGCUGGUCUCGUAAGAUCUCCACCAUCAAACCCAACCCCAGCCUAACCCUAAUCCAGAUCCACCCCCACCUCCUUGGCCCAUUCACAUGGUUCAGGUGCUGUGAGUGGUCAAGUGACUUCUGCCCACUCAGAUGAGCACUGAAGGGGCUUGGCAGAUUAACAGCCCUGUUCGGAGAAUCGCUGCAGAACAGGGGUCUCAGGGAGUGGCUGGUACAUUCUCUGGUCUGACUUUUGGGGUGUGUGGGCAGAUUUCCUUGCCUUAAACAUUGUUGGGGAAUCCCCUUCCCAAAGAGCAGCACUCUGCCAAGACCCUCUCUCCCUCCUUAAAUACCCCAGCAGUGUUAGCCUGGGUGCUUUAUUUCAUGGGGGUCAGAGGGCUGGAUUACGUGAGGCUUCAUGGGAGAACACGGGUCACCAGCCGCUUUGCUGUGAGAAGUAAAAUUAAUAGUGAGGAAAAAACAGUUUUGCCUGCACAGAUUCAAAACAGGAAAUGUCACUAACGCAAUCCACUUCCUGCUGCAUCAGGGGAUGGUCUGAUCCCUAACUCCGAAUUCUCAAUAUCUCUUGAGCCAAUGGGGAGCUGGGAAAGGCUGCGGUAUUGAAGGGUCUCCCCACUGCCAUCAUGAUGGCUUUCUUGACCCAUACGUCUGCAUUGUCUCGGCCAUGCCUGGUGCUGCUGCUUCUCCUGGAAAUCCCCAGGACGGCUACAGGUGCCAAACAGGAGGAACCCAAUUGAUUUAGAUGAAAACUGGAAGAGCAGAAGGUGGAAAUGGGGGACACAUGGAGCCCCUUGUCCCUGGUUAGCUCGCACAUUGGCUUCAGCUCGUUCCACCCAGGCUGCGAGUGGGCACCGACCCACCAGUGCCCCUCGCACUGAAUGAGUCUGUGACGUUCCCCUGCCGCGCGGAGGGGUUUUACCCGAAGAACGUGAGUCUCACCAGGCUGGAGAACGGAAAUGAGACGGGUCUAGGAAAGGCCUCCCCCCCCAGCUGAGAAU
Molecule: long non-coding RNA, 1331 nt
Organism: Mauremys reevesii (Reeves's turtle)
Lineage: Eukaryota; Metazoa; Chordata; Testudines; Geoemydidae
Exons: 3
Source: RefSeq, a predicted model, not a curated record